Molecule: ribosomal RNA, 720 nt
Filed under: uncultured Prochlorococcus sp.
Lineage: Bacteria; Bacillati; Cyanobacteriota; Cyanophyceae; Synechococcales; Prochlorococcaceae
Description: bacterial SSU rRNA
Rfam family: Bacterial small subunit ribosomal RNA
Source: RNAcentral
ACUAGGUGUUGUGCGUAUCGACCCGUGCAGUACCGAAGCAAACGCGUUAAGUAUCCCGCCUGGGGAGUACGCACGCAAGUGUGAAACUCAAAGGAAUUGACGGGGGCCCGCACAAGCGGUGGAGUAUGUGGUUUAAUUCGAUGCAACGCGAAGAACCUUACCAGGGCUUGACAUCCCUCGAACUUUUGAGAAAUCAGAAGGUGCCUUCGGGAGCGAGGAGACAGGUGGUGCAUGGCUGUCGUCAGCUCGUGUCGUGAGAUGUUGGGUUAAGUCCCGCAACGAGCGCAACCCACGUCCUUAGUUGCCAUCAUUAAGUUGGGCACUCUGGGGAGACUGCCGGGGACAACUCGGAGGAAGGUGUGGACGACGUCAAGUCAUCAUGCCCCUUACGUUCUGGGCUACACACGUACUACAAUGCAACGGACAAAGGGCAGCCAGCUAGCGAUAGUGAGCUAAUCCCAUAAACCGUUGCUCAGUUCAGAUUGCAGGCUGCAACUCGCCUGCAUGAAGGAGGAAUCGCUAGUAAUCGCAGGUCAGCAUACUGCGGUGAAUACGUUCCCGGGCCUUGUACACACCGCCCGUCACACCAUGGAAGUUGGCCAUGCCCGAAGUCGUUACCCUAACCGUUCGCGGAGGGGGGCGCCGAAGGCAGGGCUGAUGACUGGGGUGAAGUCGUAACAAGGUAGCCGUACCGGAAGGUGUGGCUGGAUCACCUCCUUU